Pelobates cultripes (western spadefoot toad) is the source of this 319-nucleotide non-coding RNA. NCBI's taxonomy places the organism in Eukaryota, Metazoa, Chordata, Amphibia, Anura, Pelobatidae. The record is from the annotation of a GenBank genome assembly.
GGAGAAAUGAAACAAUGUUACUAUUUCUCCUCCUUUAUUAGCAUUGUGUGCCCUGGCUGUGCCUUGUCUGAACUGGAUUGUUGGGUCAUUUGCUAAAUCUUUAAUAUAAAUGUAAAAGAAAACAGAGAAUAUAUAUGAAAAAUGUUAAGACAAGUUCUAGGUGAUGUGUUAUUCGAAAGUGACAGUUCUCCUUUAAGUAGAUGAAAUGACUGCUAUAAUUGGUAGGAAAGACGAGUAUCAUAUUAACAAAGAGUUACAUUACAUGAUUUAACAGAAGCCAUGUAAGUAGCAAUGGAAUAAGACUUACUUCAGAUUUACA